Molecule: long non-coding RNA, 218 nt
Filed under: Elaeis guineensis (African oil palm)
Lineage: Eukaryota; Viridiplantae; Streptophyta; Magnoliopsida; Arecales; Arecaceae
Description: long non-coding RNA (EGUI_LNC074675)
Source: RNAcentral
CCAUGCCCUUUGUCAUAUCAAUCAAGAUGUCAAUGAGUCCCAGAUUUAGAAUACACAAAGUCGAUAGUUGCAGCAAAUCAACCUAUCCUUCUAAAUUAACAAAUUCAUUUCAUCCAAAUAGAAAGAAAUCAGAUUCAUUCUAGAGUUGAGGAUAGCAAAAUUUGGGCGUUUCUAUAAAUCUGAUCACGAUUUUGGUACACAAAAUCAUUUCCCAAAAC